GAGGAAGUAAAAGUCGUAACAAGGUUUCCGUAGGUGAACCUGCGGAAGGAUCAUUAAUGAUUGCGAAUGGUUGCCUUCGGUGCUGGCUCUUGCAAGUGCACGUUGGUGGCUUUCAUCCAAUACCCUUGUGAACCUUUGGCCUCUUGCUGGCUUUGGCCGGCAGAGGAUUUUUACACACACUCGAAUGUAAUGAAAACUAUUGUCGUGCGCAAGCACUAAUGUACAACUUUCAACAACGGAUCUCUUGGCUCUCGCAUCGAUGAAGAACGCAGCGAAAUGCGAUAAGUAAUGUGAAUUGCAGAAUUCAGUGAAUCAUCGAAUCUUUGAACGCACCUUGCACCCUUUGGUAUUCCGAAGGGUAUGCUCGUUUGAGUGUCAUUGUACUCUCACUCUCUCUGAUCCUUUGGAUUCAGGGAGUGGUGGACUUGGGUGUUUGCUGCUUUCCUUGUGGCUCACCUCAAAUGCGUCAGUGCACCUCUUGGUUGGACAUAGUACGGCGUGAUAAGUAUCUUCGCCGGCACCUCGCGAGAGGGUGGCCGAUCGGGAGCUCUGUGCUUUCAAACUGUCUUCGGACAAUCUCUGACAACUUGACCUCAAAUCGAGUAGGACUACCCGCUGAACUUAAGCAUA
RNAcentral lists this ribosomal RNA (630 nucleotides) under uncultured fungus. RNAcentral describes it as "eukaryotic LSU rRNA". The stretch from base 225 to 378 matches the Rfam family "5.8S ribosomal RNA". The record is from RNAcentral. Lineage: Eukaryota; Fungi.